This 73-nucleotide transfer RNA is filed under the name Fusarium pseudograminearum CS3427. RNAcentral describes it as "tRNA-Arg". It matches the Rfam family "tRNA". From Rfam's summary of the family: Transfer RNA (tRNA) molecules are approximately 80 nucleotides in length. Their secondary structure includes four short double-helical elements and three loops (D, anti-codon, and T loops). Further hydrogen bonds mediate the characteristic L-shaped molecular structure. tRNAs have two regions of fundamental functional importance: the anti-codon, which is responsible for specific mRNA codon recognition, and the 3' end, to which the tRNAs corresponding amino acid is attached (by aminoacyl-tRNA synthetases). tRNAs cope with the degeneracy of the genetic code in two manners: having more than one tRNA (with a specific anti-codon) for a particular amino acid; and 'wobble' base-pairing, i.e. permitting non-standard base-pairing at the 3rd anti-codon position. Lineage: Eukaryota; Fungi; Ascomycota; Sordariomycetes; Hypocreales; Nectriaceae. The record is from RNAcentral. RNAcentral also lists the same sequence under 2 other names.
GGUCGUGUGGCCCAAUGGCAAGGCGUCUGACUACGAAUCAGAAGAUUCUGGGUUCGAUCCCCAGCAUGAUCAC